RNAcentral lists this long non-coding RNA (368 nucleotides) under Triticum aestivum (bread wheat). RNAcentral describes it as "long non-coding RNA (TAES_LNC020775)". The record is from RNAcentral. Lineage: Eukaryota; Viridiplantae; Streptophyta; Magnoliopsida; Poales; Poaceae.
UUCUCCUUACUCAGAUGCUUGUCCCGGCACUUCUCUUUUCUCCUCCUAAUACCAGUCUGUGCGAAGUAGUCUCGAACAGCCUGCGUCCGAGCCUCGUGCCGAAAGUUUCCAAGUAGGCGCCUGCACUCGGCGUCGAUAACCCGAGCCGCGGCCUCCUCCUGUCCCUCAGCAUACCUGUAGAAGGUCUGCAAUCAAGCAAGAAAACACGGAUUAGAAGGUCUGCAAUCAAACAAGAAAACACAUGUAGAAGGUAUGCAAUCAAAGAAGAAAACACAACGUAAAUGGUAAAGGAGAAAUUACCCAAAACGUGGCGAUCACAAUGUCGGCCACCGUGUCGCACUCGACAUCGCCGACCCUAUGCUCCGGCG